GUGCCUUUCGGGAACUCGGAGACAGGUGCUGCAUGGCUGUCGUCAGCUCGUGUCGUGAGAUGUUGGUUAAGUCCCGCAACGAGCGCAACCCUUGUCUUUAAUUGCCAGCAUUCAGUUGGGCACUUUAAGAGACUGCCGGUGUUAAGCCGGAGGAAGGUGGGGAUGACGUCAAGUCCUCAUGGCCUUUAUGCCCAGGGCUACACACGUGCUACAAUGGGUGGUACAAAGAGAUGCCAACUCGCGAGAGCGCGCCAAUCUCAGAAAGCCAUCCUCAGUUCGGAUUGGAGUCUGCAACUCGACUCCAUGAAGUUGGAAUCGCUAGUAAUCGCGGAUCAGCACGCCGCGGUGAAUACGUUCCCGGGCCUU
Molecule: ribosomal RNA, 366 nt
Filed under: uncultured Smithella sp.
Lineage: Bacteria; Pseudomonadati; Thermodesulfobacteriota; Syntrophia; Syntrophales; Smithellaceae
Description: bacterial SSU rRNA
Rfam family: Bacterial small subunit ribosomal RNA
Source: RNAcentral